UUGAAACAACAGUAGACUGUGAUAAUCAUUUCUUUCAUCUUUUCAAUUUAUCUUUAUGGCUUUUCUGAUUCUUUCUUCUAUUUUAUUGUUAUUAUUUUUAAUCCUUUCGUUUCUCUUUGUAAAUGCUUGCUCAGGGUAUACCAGCUGGCUUUGUCAAUCAACAUGUGGAUAAAAAGUACAGUGAUGUCAUCCUCAAAGCUAUGGAUGGGAGGAGUUGGCCUGUCAAGUGCUAUAAAUCGAAAACAAAUGGAAGAACAACUGCAAAACUCUAUAAUGGAUGGAAGAAAUUCACACAGGAAAAUAGUUUGGAAGUUGGUGAUGUUUGUGCUUUUGAGCUGGUCAGUAGCAAAGAAACUACAUUUAGAGUUGUCAAAUUCCGCAAUGGGAAAGAUGCAAGUAGUAGCCCAUCAUUCGGUAACAGCGAGGAAUUGAAUCAUGAAAAACAGAAUGCGACCGGUAAGAAGAUAAUUAAAGGGACUUAUGAUGAAGCUGCAAACAAACUUACAGAAAACAUUCUUCAAAGUGGUCAUCAAGUCAGGCUAUCUGAAGCGUUUCCCUCUGCAUGUACCACUGAAUUUUAUGGCAAAAUGUAGCAAUCAAAGCACAACGAACGUAACGUUACAGGUUAAAAACAGACAGUGGAAUGUGAAACUUAUCAGUUAUGCCUCUAGAGGUAUAUUAUCAGCCGGACGGCCUGCAUUUGCACAUAACAAUGUACAAGCAGGUGAUGUUUGCAUCUUUGAGCUGAUUAAUGCCGCAAAAGGUCUCGAUUUUGAGGAGACAUGGUCUUUCUUCAACUGAGAGGGCAUUGCAUUAGGUUGCUCCAUUAAAUGGGUGUACAAUUUACGAUCAAAGUUGCAUUCACCUGUCUCUGCCUGUUCAAAUUCAUUUUCACAUUUAAGCUACCCUUCUGCCCCUCCGGCUACUUCACGUGCUUCCAUUUACAUGUUAUAAAUAAACUGUGCUGUGGUCUCCCUCCCGAGGAUAAAACACAACAAGAAGAAACUUUGUUAACUGGAAAUUUUCAAUAGAAAGCUGCCAUUCUAGAAUGGAAUCUUGUCCCAGAAGAGACAAUAGGCGCUUGAUGUUUAAGCCACCAAAACCACAUUUUUUCAAGAAAAUUUUUUAUGAUGACAUUCAUAAUGGAAAACUAGUAAGUAUUCUUAUUUUUCUGUUCAUAUAUAUGUUUCUUAUAUAAUAUCAUAUGCAUGGAUACACAAAAAGUUCUGUCCACUACUCUUCCUACUUUUAGCUAUCUCUCUGUCUCUCUUUUUCUUCUUGUCAUAAAUUAUUUUCGUUAUCACUUCAAAUAUGUAGACCUUAUGAAAACAGCAUUUUCCUGGGUUAGAUUUCUUUAGAGAAACAGAAUUUAUCUAAUUUUAUUUUGGAUAAUUUUUUGUACAAAGGACUUAUU
This is an RNA transcript of Ricinus communis (castor bean), 1414 nucleotides long. It is a transcript of the gene named B3 domain-containing protein Os01g0234100-like, with no coding region annotated. The transcript has 4 exons. The record is from RefSeq and is a predicted model, not a curated record. Lineage: Eukaryota; Viridiplantae; Streptophyta; Magnoliopsida; Malpighiales; Euphorbiaceae.